UCUGCCCACCGACUGGGAAGGGGAUGGGAGACAGCUGAUCUACAGCAAUGAAAUGACGGAUUUUAAUCUUUCUUAUUAAUAAGGCAGAUGAGGAAAUACUUCUUUCAAGACCACUUCAUGACACCAUAUACGGGCAUCAUCUCCCUCACUCACUUCUGGGGCCAGCCACACCACGUGACACUGGCCGGCUACUGACAGCGCAGUUUGCAGGUGUGGCGGUCUGGGAUGCUUGUGGCUCAGUUUAACUCUUAGGUACCAGUUCUUCAAGUCCCAAAUCAGAGUUCAAUCACUACAUCAAGUUCAUCUAUUUCCAUUAACACUCAAGUGACACUAUUAAAAUAUAACCUUCAUGAAGAAAA
This is a non-coding RNA of Odocoileus virginianus texanus, 359 nucleotides long. The record is from RefSeq and is a predicted model, not a curated record. NCBI's taxonomy places the organism in Eukaryota, Metazoa, Chordata, Mammalia, Artiodactyla, Cervidae.